UAGCCAUAUCAUGUUGAAACAUUGGUUCUCAUAUGAUCACCGAUGUUAAGCAGCAUUGUGCCUGGUCAGUAACCAAAUGGGUGACUGCUUGGGAAUACCAGGAGCUGUAAG
Acanthosepion pharaonis is the source of this 111-nucleotide non-coding RNA. The record is from the annotation of a GenBank genome assembly. Lineage: Eukaryota; Metazoa; Mollusca; Cephalopoda; Sepiida; Sepiidae.